AGAGUUUGAUCCUGGCUCAGGAUGAACGCUGGCGGCGUGCCUAAUACAUGCAAGUCGAGCGAACGGACGAGAAGCUUGCUUCUCUGAUGUUAGCGGCGGACGGGUGAGUAACACGUGGAUAACCUACCUAUAAGACUGGGAUAACUUCGGGAAACCGGAGCUAAUACCGGAUAAUAUUUUGAACCGCAUGGUUCAAAAGUGAAAGACGGUCUUGCUGUCACUUAUAGAUGGAUCCGCGCUGCAUUAGCUAGUUGGUAAGGUAACGGCUUACCAAGGCAACGAUGCAUAGCCGACCUGAGAGGGUGAUCGGCCACACUGGAACUGAGACACGGUCCAGACUCCUACGGGAGGCAGCAGUAGGGAAUCUUCCGCAAUGGGCGAAAGCCUGACGGAGCAACGCCGCGUGAGUGAUGAAGGUCUUCGGAUCGUAAAACUCUGUUAUUAGGGAAGAACAUAUGUGUAAGUAACUGUGCACAUCUUGACGGUACCUAAUCAGAAAGCCACGGCUAACUACGUGCCAGCAGCCGCGGUAAUACGUAGGUGGCAAGCGUUAUCCGGAAUUAUUGGGCGUAAAGCGCGCGUAGGCGGUUUUUUAAGUCUGAUGUGAAAGCCCACGGCUCAACCGUGGAGGGUCAUUGGAAACUGGAAAACUUGAGUGCAGAAGAGGAAAGUGGAAUUCCAUGUGUAGCGGUGAAAUGCGCAGAGAUAUGGAGGAACACCAGUGGCGAAGGCGACUUUCUGGUCUGUAACUGACGCUGAUGUGCGAAAGCGUGGGGAUCAAACAGGAUUAGAUACCCUGGUAGUCCACGCCGUAAACGAUGAGUGCUAAGUGUUAGGGGGUUUCCGCCCCUUAGUGCUGCAGCUAACGCAUUAAGCACUCCGCCUGGGGAGUACGACCGCAAGGUUGAAACUCAAAGGAAUUGACGGGGACCCGCACAAGCGGUGGAGCAUGUGGUUUAAUUCGAAGCAACGCGAAGAACCUUACCAAAUCUUGACAUCCUUUGACAACUCUAGAGAUAGAGCCUUCCCCUUCGGGGGACAAAGUGACAGGUGGUGCAUGGUUGUCGUCAGCUCGUGUCGUGAGAUGUUGGGUUAAGUCCCGCAACGAGCGCAACCCUUAAGCUUAGUUGCCAUCAUUAAGUUGGGCACUCUAAGUUGACUGCCGGUGACAAACCGGAGGAAGGUGGGGAUGACGUCAAAUCAUCAUGCCCCUUAUGAUUUGGGCUACACACGUGCUACAAUGGACAAUACAAAGGGCAGCGAAACCGCGAGGUCAAGCAAAUCCCAUAAAGUUGUUCUCAGUUCGGAUUGUAGUCUGCAACUCGACUACAUGAAGCUGGAAUCGCUAGUAAUCGUAGAUCAGCAUGCUACGGUGAAUACGUUCCCGGGUCUUGUACACACCGCCCGUCACACCACGAGAGUUUGUAACACCCGAAGCCGGUGGAGUAACCUUUUAGGAGCUAGCCGUCGAAGGUGGGACAAAUGAUUGGGGUGAAGUCGUAACAAGGUAGCCGUAUCGGAAGGUGCGGCUAGAUCACCU
RNAcentral lists this ribosomal RNA (1540 nucleotides) under Staphylococcus aureus VET0438R. RNAcentral describes it as "16S ribosomal RNA". It matches the Rfam family "Bacterial small subunit ribosomal RNA". Lineage: Bacteria; Bacillati; Bacillota; Bacilli; Caryophanales; Staphylococcaceae. The record is from RNAcentral.